UCACGUGGCAAUGCCCAACCACAGUGGAGCCAGAAGAUACACUCCUCCCAAAGGGGGCACAAUGAACCCACAGCAACAGGAAGAGAUGUACAGUCCUCUUAUAGGCAAGCUGCAAAUAACUGGGAACAAUAAGAUCAUCUACCACAAGAAAUCUUUAAUAAUUUCCAAAAAAUUCUUUUCAUUUGAGUCUGUUUAAUUAAUGUGAGAUCAAUUACAGUUUAUCUUACAAUAACCAUAUUUUAGAUUUUAUCUUCCUUCAAGAUUCUAAUGUUGUCCCAAACCUCAGCUUACAUCUGAUGGUAGGCUGUUCUCAAGAUGGACAGCUGCAUAUAUUUUAUUCUAGUUUCUAUUUCCAAAAGAUACAUUUUCUCAUGUUGUCCCCAAAUUCUUGGACCUAAGGCCCCUCAACUCUAACUGACAUUAGUUUAGGAAAGAGAAGGUGAGGAGAAAGGGACUAAAGGUCAGUGUCCUACUCUCUGCCUGGUUGCUGAGUGAGUGAAUGAGCAAAUUAAUGGGCUAUGGCAACUACUGACUGUGUCCCUGGAGGGCCCGAUGAUCAGAAGUGUCAGGCUUUGACUUCAGCAGGAAGAAAUGGUGGUCAGUGUUUGAACAAACUUCCUGGUUUGAAGGAGUUUGGGGGCUGUGGCAGACAGACUCUUAAGGAGGCCUACAUGAUUUUGCCUCCUGGUGUUCACAUCCUUGUGUGAUCCCCACCCCUUGAAUGUGGGUCCUGUGACUUGCUUCUAACCAGUAGAACCUGACAAAUGUGACAGUGAUUGUGUGUACGUGAUGACAUGAUUAUAUCACACGAGAUUGUAACACUUGCCUUGCUGGCAUCUCUCACUCUCUUGCUGGCUUUGAAGAAGCAAGCUGCCAUGUUGUGGCUGCCUUUGUUGGAAGGUGAUGUGGCAAGGAACUGAGGACGGCCUCUAGGAGCUGAGGAUGGACUCCAGCUGACAGCCAGCAAGACACAGAAGCCUUCCAUCCUAAAGCUGUAAGGAACGGAAUCCUGCUAACAAAAGUGAUCCUUCCCCAGACGAGCCUCAGAUGAGGUGGAGCCCCGACCGACACCUUGAUUGCAGCCUUGUGAGACCCUACGCAGAGGACCCAGUCUGUGCCCAGACUCCUGACCCACAGAAACUGAGAAAACUGUGAGAUGCUGUUGGUAUCAUAAAGGCUUAUGGGAGCAUCCUACAAAGAGAAAAGGCUCAUGGCACAGAGCAAAGAGCCCAGGUAGAAUCCAGGUGAGGUCCUCUGCUCAGGGAUUCGCAAGGCUGAAGUCAAGGUGUUGGCCAGUCUGCGUUCUCAUCUGGACGCUCGGGGGAAGAAUGUGCUUCCAACUUCAUUCAGGUCCUGUCCACUCUCAAGAGGAAGGAAUUACAUAGGAUGUGUAUACCAGCGGGCAGAACUCUGGGGGGCCAUCUUAGAAUUCUGCCUACCACGGGGCUGUGGGAUUAAAUAAGAUACUGUGUGUAAAACGCUUAGCUCAGUGCCUGGCCCAGAGAAAGACGCAAUAAGUGGUAGUCAUAGUCACCACCAUCAAUACGCAUAGUAGACAAAAUAAUGGCCCCCCAAAGAUGUCCUUGGAAUCUGUCAAUAUGUUAUGCUACGUGGCAAAGAAAAUGAAGGCUGCAGACGGAAUCAAGCUGGCUAAUCAGCUGACCUUAAAAUCGGGAAAUCAUCCUGGAUUUGCUCCUUAUGGAACCACAAGGGUCCUUCAAAGUGGAAGAGUGAGGCAGAAGAAGAGUCAGAACCAGAGAGAUGGCAGCAUGAAAAGACUUGGCCCAACGUUGCUGGCUUUCAAAAUGGAAGAAGAGGACCACGAGCCAAGGAAUGUGGGCGGCAAGGAAUGUGGCCAAGCUGGAAGGGGAGAGGAAUAGAUUUUCCCCUGGAGCCUCCAGGAAAGAAUGCAAGCCUGCUGUCACCUUGACUGUAGCCCGGCGAGACCUGUUUCAGACUUUGGACGUCCAGAACUGUAAGAUAAUAAAUGUGUGUUGUUUUAAGCCACUGCAUUUGUAGUAAUUUGUUCCAGCAUCCAUAGGAAACUAAUACAAUGUUAUGUGUUUUAUCAGGGCUACAGAAAAAGAUUAAAAUGACAGAGUUCAGGGUGCAUAUUGAUUCAUUGGCCAUUUAUAAAAGCCGGUUGAGAAACUGUGAAGUGGAGAAUCUGAAAUGGAGUAGGUGACAGUCUUCCUAUGGCCACUUUGCUCGGUCUGGGUGUAUGUGGUGUGAGGCCUAUGGAGGACGAAGACAGAGCAGAGCACUUCCAAAGGAGACUGACAUGAACGGAGGAGAAACUAGAGCUGAAAAGACAGUGGUGAUGUGCGGAUUGGAUGGGGUUGUUGGGAAAUAGUUGAUGAACUGUCUUUGGAAGAGAACUUAGAAAAGUUGUGCACAGUCCCGAGGGGAGAUGUACUGGGCGGAAGCUACCGGAACUCAGCGCUCAGCUCAGUAUGAGUAAUUGCUUUCUGGAAGUGAUGAUUGUAUCAGUUAGGAACAACAGAUCAGAACUAACAGUGGCUUAAGCAAGAGAGAAGUGUCUUUUCUGUCAUGGUAAAUGCCUUCUGGAGGUGAGAAGUCCAGGACUGGUUUGAAGGUACCAUGAUGUUAGGGAUCCAGGCUCCUUGAUGCGCCUUCUCCCCUAGGUUGAUGCCCUCACCCACACGGUCCAAGGCUGAGAAACAUCACAUCCAUAUUCCCAGAAGCAGGAAGGCGGAAGGGCACGGCCUUUAAGUUCACAUCCCAGAAGUUGCGUCCAUCACUUUUGCUCUCAUCUCAAUGACAAGAACAUGGGCAUAUGGCCUCCUGGCUGCAUAGGAAACUCAUUGUGGGUGGCCACGCAACUUGGCAAAAAGUUGGAGGUUUCUAUCACCAUGGAAAAGGAGGGAAAAAUUGAUUUGGGGGUUGGGGGGGGCAAGACCAACAAGCUCUGCAUAGUGAUGGCUGGGUUAUUUUGGAGGUAGGAUUUUGCUCUCUGUGCUGGACCCUCCCUGUUUUGACACUCCAAUAGCACCCUGAUUCCCCUUUUCAGAAAGAACCUCUCUCCCGUGGAAGUCUGAAGGGACUGUCAGUGGAGGUGCUGCUCUCCCAUAGCCAAGAGCUCCAGCAUUCAUUCUAACUCCAGCCUCAGGGAGAGACUGAUUCCUCUUACUCCUCGAACUGCCUAGUACCUGCCAUUUUUCAGACCAGUUCUCAAACCUUUCCUUGUCUGUCCAAACAUUUCCCUUCUGCUUUGAUCAAUUAGAGGGGAUUUCUUUUGCUUGCAACCUAUCACUCCUUACAGAUACACUCUCCCCGGAGUCUUGCAGCAGAAGCUUGCAACAUCUUGGCAGAACUGGAAGCAAUCCUGUUGUAGGGCAGUGCAUGUUUUACUAUUGCACUGGACAGUCAGAAAGCAAAACACCCACCAAAUGAAAUGAUUUUGCAAAGAUUUACAUUGCCAUCACUAAGUCACUCAGAG
Long non-coding RNA from Equus caballus (horse), 3460 nucleotides. Lineage: Eukaryota; Metazoa; Chordata; Mammalia; Perissodactyla; Equidae. The record is from Ensembl.